GGGUCUUAUUCUAACAACAAAAACUAGUUCAAAGCAUACAAGAGUUUCUGUGCGUUCCUGUCAAUCCUGUAAUGAAGAGACUUUGCAAAUAUCUUUAGUUCAUUCUUCCAUCCGCUGAAGUGAGGUUUAACCUUUAAAAACGUACUUAUCUUACUUAUCUACUUAUCUAUGAAUCUAGUAUUUGCACAAAGUAAUUAAGUUAUUUAUCAAAAAGUCUAGGAUCUUUUCCUUCAACAAUACUCCAACCUUAACUGAGAUCACAGUCAAAGGGUGUAUUGAUAUCUGUUUGAAAUGAAGCCAGUUUUGAAAUUCCAGCCAAAAAGUCUGUACAGAUUCACAUUUCAAAAACAUAUGAUCAACAGUUUCAAUAUCUUUCUCACAGAACCCGCAUGAAUUGUUCUCCCAAUUAAAUCUUUCUUGUAGGAAUUGAUUGGAUAAAUGUCCUUUCGAAUUUUAAAUGUUACUUCUUUGGCUUUAGGAAGAACUGGAUAAGUAAAAUAAAGCUUCCUUAUUUUCUUUGCCUCUUCUUCAAUAAAUUCUUGAAGAACAUACUUUCUUUUCAGUUGACUGGGGAAGUACAGUUUGGAUAAUACAUUUCUGAUAAACUUAUUUGUUAAUUGUUUGCUCUUUAAAUUUUUACCUUUAGUACAUGAUGGAUAGCAUAGAUGUAACUUAGUUUUUGCUGGCUUGUGGUAAAAUAACGUAGUGAAUAAUGAUAGGACACGAUCGUUUUGUAUGUGUAUUCCUUUAGCAUUUGUUGUAUAAUUUAAAAAAGGUCAUAUGAGGUGGUUGUUUUCAUAUUUAAUUUUUCAUUCACUUCCAGGGAUAGGAUUGGCAUAGAAGAUGCAGCACUCUUUACAUUUUAAAUGUAUGUUGCCACCUUAGAAGUCAAGGUCUUUUUACAUGUGACAUUAACAUAUUUAUUUGUUCUAUUUUGUUGUUCUGUUAUUCUAUUGUUUUACUUUUUUUGUUUCAGAUCAAAUGUAUAUCAAGUGUUAUCCAUCCUUGAUAACACCUCCACAAAUAGAGACUGAAACUUCCGAGCACCAUCACCUUGUCUGCUUUGGGACUGUCAUAGCCCAGCAAUCAGAUGCAUCAGAACAACAAAGCACAACUGUGGUGGACCAGGCACCUUCAGCAACAAAGAUUUAACAACACUGUCAGUCAGGAGCAUAUUUAACAGGAGGCACACUUCAGCUGGCUUGAUGGUGACUUCAGUGCAGUGAAGAUAUUUAAAGAGACACUAUCUAAAGUACAGAAAGCCGUACAUAAUCUCUAGGUGCAGUCGCCUACAGUGCAGCCAGCUUCACAAAGACUGUGGGGCUGGUCACCAGGAAAAUGGUCAACAAGGAGUGCUUUUGGGGUUUUACUCCUCAGAUGACCACCCUGGCUACUGUAGCUGGGAUUGCUUCACAGACAAUGGAGGUCUUGAAGAGUAACGUGUACGUGCAUGUGAACACAUUGUGUUACUACAGGAACAAUUAUGGUCACUUGCAGUUCAUGUGUUUUCAAUGUAGUGUAAGAUGUGUUAAUUAUUAUUAUUACUCAAAAACCAUUAAAACUUCUAAAUUGUGGAAGUUAUUCUUCA
Molecule: long non-coding RNA, 1588 nt
Organism: Carassius auratus (goldfish)
Lineage: Eukaryota; Metazoa; Chordata; Actinopteri; Cypriniformes; Cyprinidae
Exons: 4
Source: RefSeq, a predicted model, not a curated record